UAAUCAUAUAAAGCGCCGGAACUUAUUUUAUAAGUUGACGAGGACAGGGCUUAUCGAAUUAUCGGCGGAUACCCUGCGGCUUACCACCGAAAGAGAUCUGACAAAACCAUAAAGUGAUUUAUGGGACAAAAGGAUCGGGUACAAUACU
Molecule: non-coding RNA, 148 nt
Filed under: Fervidicella metallireducens
Lineage: Bacteria; Bacillati; Bacillota; Clostridia; Eubacteriales; Clostridiaceae
Also listed under: 1 other name
Description: GlcN6P sequence
Rfam family: glmS glucosamine-6-phosphate activated ribozyme aptamer
About the family: This entry contains a glucosamine-6-phosphate activated ribozyme that is found in the mRNA for GlmS. GlmS is an enzyme that uses fructose-6-phosphate and glutamine to generate glucosamine-6-phosphate.
Source: RNAcentral